CAUUGCACAAGCUCUUGCAGGAUCGCUUAUACACAAUUUUAGGUCCAGUCUUUGGAACUUUGGUUUUUCAAGAUAUGGCUAUUAUAUUGAGAAUCUUUGAUGAAGGGCCAGGAGCUGGCCUACACUGCUAUGCCCAUCAAUGAGGCUCUGGCAAAGACCUCACCUCCAUUCUCACCUCUUGCCUGGAGGUUGAUUGGGGGAGAACAGAAUUAGAUUCAUGAGAUGCAGCGAAACCUGGCACUCAACAUAUCCUCUCAACACAUCCACUCAACGCAUCCACUCAACACACCCUCUCAAC
Long non-coding RNA from Oncorhynchus masou masou (cherry salmon), 298 nucleotides. RefSeq lists it as uncharacterized. The record is from RefSeq and is a predicted model, not a curated record. NCBI's taxonomy places the organism in Eukaryota, Metazoa, Chordata, Actinopteri, Salmoniformes, Salmonidae. The transcript is spliced from 3 exons.